Molecule: non-coding RNA, 3494 nt
Organism: Anas platyrhynchos (mallard)
Lineage: Eukaryota; Metazoa; Chordata; Aves; Anseriformes; Anatidae
Source: RefSeq, a predicted model, not a curated record
UGAAAGAGUAAGGCUUUUAGGAAAGUGAGGGUUUUACAAUGGGUGUGUUGAGUCCCUUUACUCAGUGUAAAGAUGGGGCAGAACUGGUUGCAAUAACAAUCUAGAUGGAGAAAAGGAUGAGCGGGGUUACAAAUUGCUCCUAUAUCACAUGAGCAAGAUGAUCAUGUAUAGGAGAAAGGAAUAACAGCAUGGGAGAACUGGAAGCAUGAGUUGGAAAACAUAUUCCAUGUAUUCAAGAUGCAUUUAAUUGGCCUGAACGUGAAUGUCUUGCUCUGCAUCACGUGCAGUCUACGUGCAAUGUGGAUCACUCCGUGAAGGAUGUCAAGGAACAGGACAUAUGAGCAUAAACAAGCCCAGCAAGAGUCAACAAAGUCAAGCUGCAGUGGAAAAAGGCAAACAACAGACUCUGAUGUAUAAACAAGAGUACAUCUUGGGAGAAGCAUGACACCCUUCCACUUCUUAGCUACUGGGAACGCCAUGGCCUCGUUUUGUUUAGGUCUGUAAGAGGAAAUCAGUGGUCUGGCUGGUGAGCUCCCAGGGCAGACAACAAGGACUGUCUGGAACAUGGGGAGGUUAAAUGAAUUAGGGUUGCUUGGAGCCCUUGGAGGCAGGGCUGUGGGAUAAGAUGUUUCUUGAUCAGCUAUGUCUAACUAUGUCAAGAACUCUUGAAGAGUUGAGGGGAAUGAUGUUUGUGCUGUUGUCAUGAGAGGUAAGAUUAGAAGCAGACAAGUCAACUGCAGCAAAUAAGUUUCAGUGUAAAUGUCAGGGAGAACAUCCCAAACAGGACAGACCGUGGGACAGGCUGCUGUGGGAGGCAACAUGGCUGAAAAACUGCUUGGAAAUCAUGGGAGUUACAGUGAGGUUAUGUGGUGUAAAUGAGAAUUGAGCCUCUGAUUCCCUCCAUAAGUCAAUGCUGGUCCUAAAAAUCAUAGCAGGACCACUGUGACAACAGACUUCUGCUUUACAAAAGUACUCACAGAAUUUGCAGGAUGAUAUGUUUGUUUUUGGAAAAUGCCUCAUUGGAAAGUAUAGGAUCAGACUUCCUAUGAGAAAGGGCAUCAGAUACAACGAUCUGAACUUCUGAGUUUUUCAGUGUGCGCCUACACCUGGUAGAUGUGAGCAGGCACCCUAACUGCAGAUCUAAGCAUAGAGGAGGUACCAUUUUCUCAGGUUGCUCCUAUGGUGAAGCCAAAUCAUAUAAUAGGUUUUAUAUGUUCCAAAGCUCAUUAUCAUUAAAAGGUUUAAAUGAUGUCUUUGUGACUGUGCUGCUUACAGCUGUGCUGUUGGACUACCUCAUGCAGAUUCAGCUUUACAGAGUACGAGCAAGCUACCCAGGGAGUGUUUUCAUUAGUAGCUACAACUCCGUGCCAAGCUUUGUCUUUCAUAUCAUAUUUCUGCUGAGCUUUCCUGCUUCUCCACCAUUUUCUUCCCCAAGGAUAUAAUCAGAGGUUACAAAACCAGAAAAAUGAUACUGAAUGUGCAGCAGGCACAUAAUAAUGCACAGAGAAAGCAAGAUUGUGAUAACCGAGAUAACCAGGACACUUUUGAUUUCUAGUUAUGUGUUUCUAUGAAAGCAGAGCUCAUUUUUGUUUGUCCAAACAGAUGUUGAACAAAUGAACUAUUUAUCACUGAGUAAAUUGUUUGCUGAAGGCGUGCUGUUAGGCAGAAGUACAGCUCUACACCCAGUACCUUUACAAUCUAUCUAUAGAUUAAGCUGGUAUCGUCCCAAUACCUCCUAUACUUGCUGUACUUAUAGCUUUGUCAUGUUUUGACUGCUAUACCUGUCUCUACAAGGGCAUUGGGAGUGCAGGACUAGGAGAGCGCACAACACCCCAAGAGGUUGUGCUGAAGAUUAAACUUUGAUGGGGCCAACUGCGACAGUCUACUGAAGAGCAUCUAACCAUAACACCUCCCCAACAGGUGUCUACUUAAUCUAUAAUCUAGGUAAGAGACACUCGCUGCAGGCUGUGACUGUUACCAGUGAUAGCUGACAACUAUUGGCCUGAUUAUUUGGAACAGAAACACCCACUGUUCUUUGGGAAGCUGACAUAGCUGCAAGAUGGAAGUUGAUGACAUGGAUAAUAAAUAGGGGAUUUCUGUAGUUCUUGGUAAGAAGACUUGUUACCUCCACACAGGCAUCUCGGAGAGAGAAAGAGCAAGGAUAUAUGGAUGUCUCCACAUCUUUAAACUUUCAGCUCUUGAAAUUUUUUUGGCUCUGCUCCACCUCUUCAAAUAACCCAUUAACAGUUACAGAAGGAGGUCUAUUUGGGAUGUUCAGAAACACCGCAUGCUGCUAGUCACUGCUUUAAGUGACUGUGAGAAUGACAGAGACUAUACCUGGUACUCCACAUGUUUGUUGAGCAGAAAUACAACCCAGCCUUACCUGCAGGAUUACAUGGAAACAGUGGUAAGUGUAGGGAGAGUUACCAGUUUUGCAUACCCACAUCUGUAUGUCUUGAAUGAAAGCACAGCAGUUUGUUAUUUUGUGUUCUACAGCUUGCAGCUGCGUGUAUAAACACUUUACAUUUGAAAUCCUCCCAGAUCUGUGCGGGUGAUGUGAAAUCCCCAAUGAUGUAGGUCAUAUAUCCUGGCAGGGGUUCAACUCAGCAUCUCCAAAUGAGUGUUGAUGAGGUAUGCAGACUCAUCAGAUGCUGUCUGUAUUUCCAUUCUUCUGGGGUGCAGAUGCCCAUGAAAGAAGACACGGUGCUGGGCCAGAGCAAGUACUAGAACUGCUGCCCUUGAGCCAUUUUAGCUUUACCAUCUGGGAAACAAUCGAUUGCAUCCAUUUAAAAAAAAAAAAAAAGUUCUGCAUUAUUAGUUUCUUAUUUAUUUAUUUAUUUAUUUAUUUACUCCUUGGCAAAAACAGUGAUUUUAAAAAUUACCAAAAACUGGUGCAUGCCAUGCUGUGCUUAGAGCCAGGUGUGGAAUUUUCCCUGGGGGCCACCGAUGGCUUUUGGCUGAGGCACCUUCCCAAUGUGAGGAUGCAAUGCUCAGCUGCCAACUGCACAUACUUUGACUAGUUAGGCCAUCUUCAAGCACUUAUGAGGAAUACUUUAGAAUCAGAAAUGGAGAUGAAUUUCCAUUCUUGCUUUCUGAAAAUCCCAGAGUCCCAGCGAGCUGUAAAUAAUCUGUUCCUUUCAAAAUGCACUCACUGCCGUCUGGUGAGCUAAUUGUGAUUGUAAGAGCUUACUGGUAGGUUCAAACUGGAAAAAACAUUACCAAUAGUCAAAAUGAAAAAAAAUCUGCAGAUACAGUAUGGAUGUAACUUGGGUAAUGCCUAGAGAGCCUGGCAGGUCUGAGAACCAGAUUACACUUUUUUUUUUUUUUUUAAAUCAUCUUUUUCCUUGUGCCAAAAAACAAGAGUGUAACUCUAGUCCUACUCUUCAGCAAGCUGUAUUGGACUUUAUCUGUUUUUAUUAGAGUGGUCAGUUUUUGUGCAAGUCUUUCCAUACGUAAAAUUAAGUGCAGAAAAUAAAGGAGGUAGAAAGAUCAAA